UUUAAACCAAAAUGCAAUAUCUGGAAUGUGUUUAGAAUCCCAGUCUACAAAAUGAACUUAUCGCUUGUUUUGGUUUUCCUAGUUGGGUUAUUAGCUCUGCCAACACUCCAACACUCAAUGGAAUUUAACCAAGUCAAACUUCCGAUUGACUGUUUAAAUGAUGAGAAAGUUCUGGAAAUCUACGAAUCCUUACUAACAAACAAAACCUCAAGCAAAUACUCCAAAAUCAAGUGCGCCUUAAGUUGUUACCUUGACCAAAGUUCCGGAAUUAAAGCUAAAAUGCUUGAGUUAAAGAAAGAAAAUAAAACCGACCCCUGCCUUUCGAUCAAAGAUCCCGACAGGUGCGAAGAAGGCUUUAAGAAGUUUCAAUGCUUAUAUCAACGAAAAUUAUAAAGCAACUACAAUUAUUUUGAACUGCAAAUAAAUAUUUAUAUUUUUUAUAA
Drosophila rhopaloa is the source of this 443-nucleotide long non-coding RNA. RefSeq lists it as uncharacterized. Lineage: Eukaryota; Metazoa; Arthropoda; Insecta; Diptera; Drosophilidae. The transcript is spliced from 2 exons. The record is from RefSeq and is a predicted model, not a curated record.